AGGUGCUAACCCUUUAGUUGUUGGGUGGAAUGAGAAGGGAGGAGGGAGUCCUGGGGAGGGGCCGAGGCCGUUGAGGUGGCAUGAAAGGGUGCUCUGGGGACUCAGGUUAGUGGCUCUUUAACAACUGGUGUGGAGUCAUCUCAAUAUUUUAACAUAGGCUGGCUUUCCAGGUGUGUGCAGGGUGAUGAUUAGCUCUACCUGCCACCCAUCACAGAACUCAGAGUUUCACCACUUCCUUCUCCAUUUUCUUUAGCUGUCAGCAUAUAGUUAAUGGGCAACAACACAGCUCUCCAUCCAGUUCUGGGAAAUAAUAAUCAUGGUUAAUAGUUACUGAGAACUGAUGAUUUCAUUUCAUCUUCAUACCAACGCUUGGGGUAGGCACCAUUUUAAAAGCGAUUGGAGACAGGUUAAACAACUUGCCCUCAAUCAAUGGUUGGGAAGUGAAAGAACCAAGCUUCAAACCCAGGUCUGUCUGGGUCUUGAGCCAAGCUCCAAGUCUGUGUCACAUUGCCCAGGACUCGGCUGCCAAUUCUCCCGACCUCCUCGUCCCUCACUGCUGCAUCAGCAAAUCCAGGGCUCAUGGCAGGAAGAGCAGAGAAGAGCAAAGCCUCUUUUCCAUUGCCAUCCAGACAGUUUGAAUAUCACCUUUGAUUUCUUCAAUUUUAAAGACCCAUUUUUGACUAGUAAUGUGGAACGCGAAGGUAGAAAUAACCGAAGGCAUCAGAGGAGAGAGAAGUGGAUGAAAACUCCUCAAGGUCACAUCUAUCCCUCCUUGCCUGGCACAGAGGAGAUGCUUCAUUUGGAUGUGUUGCUGGAGGGGAGAGGUGCAAGCAGUAUGCCAUGGGCACUCAGAGAAAGAGACUAUCUUUAUUCCUGUAAGCUUCAACUAGGGAGCUUCAAUGUUGCGCAAAUGACAGCAGAGAGAGUCAUCAGGUCAAGCCUAUCCAGCAAGAAGCCAAGUGGAGAGUUGAGCAAUUAUCUGAAGUGGGCAGUGAGACGGCCAAAACCAGAUAAUACUUAACCAGAAAGUCAUCGUGGAGGGAAAAAGUGGACUGAAAAUAGAAGGGAUGGGGUAAAAUGUCAAACAAUUUGGUCAGUGUCCACAGUCCAAAUUCACUGGAUAACAGCCAAUUCCUUGCUUCAUGUAAUUAUUUAGAACGAGUCUAAAAGACUGAGGUUUUAAAAAAAGAAGAUGAAUUUGUUACCAAGGUUGUUGCAUGUUUGUGCAAAACUUUUUCAUAUCCGUAGGACUAUCUGUGACAUGUCUAAUUCUGAAUAUUUCCAGGAUAUUUUAGAUUGGUGGGUCAAGUUUGUUGAGGAAGCCCAUAUUAUCUGUAGACUUACAUGGAGAAAAACUUUCUUUUAUGGAUUAUUUGAGUGUUAUAUUUAAUUCGCCUUUCUCCCCCCAUAGCAUAUUGCUUAGGAAUUUUCCAUUGAAAACUCCUGGUUCUCUGUUACUUUAUCAUUUCCUCAUGUGGCAAUUUCAGUAUCCCCUUGAUUUUAGUAGAACCUAUCAAUGAAGUAUAUAAGUCUACUAGAAUGGGAUUUGCAUUACUUUUGGUUAAAAAAAACCCCACCAAAGUCUCAGAUCAAUGUGGUGUUUUUUUCCCUUCUAUUUGGUAUAAAAACCAUAAACUAAUUACUCUGAACAGAUGUUUCCUAGACCUAAAAUAUAGUUAUCAGCCCACUGGCCUCUAUAAAUCCAUCGCUGUAUACCUGGUAAUCCUGAAGACUCCUUAGUGCCAUGUUAAACCUUCCAUUUGUUGAUUUUUUAUUGAGAAAAAGUUCAUAAAUUAGGUUCACUGCUGCUUGGAAUUAAGAAGAAAACACAGCCAUGUUAGUAUUUCAGAUGGGAAAACCAAAGUUAAAAACAAGUAUUUUUUUUCACUCUAUCAUGUCUUGAACAUUUGAAGCCAUUACAUAGCAUCUUAGAAACAACAACAACAAAAUAACCCAGGGCUACAUUUUUCAGUAGCUUUGGCUGAUGUUUGAAAUCCACAGUGAAAAUUGCCCAUGGAAUAUUCUGGAAGGACUCCAAGGGAGUCUAUUGGAAUAUCUUACAAUAAAGUAAAAAUUCAAGAAGAAUUUUACAUGCAAGUAAGGAUUAAGAAAUUUGUUUUAUAAGUCACGGGAUAAAGGUAUGUAUUAAGUGACAUUGCUAAAUUCUUCCC
Equus caballus (horse) is the source of this 2171-nucleotide long non-coding RNA. The record is from Ensembl. Lineage: Eukaryota; Metazoa; Chordata; Mammalia; Perissodactyla; Equidae.